CACGGGGGGAGCAAGCGUUGUUCGGAAUCACUGGGCGUAAAGGGCGUGCAGGCGGUCAGGUAAGUGAGAUGUGAAAUGCCCCGGCUCACCCGGGGACCGGCAUCUCAUACUGCUUGGCUUGAGUACGGGAGAGGAUGUGGGAAUUCCUGGUGUAGCGGUGAAAUUCGUAGAUAUCAAGCAGAACACCUGCGGCGAAGGCGGCCUUCUGGACGAUGACUGACGCUGAGACGCGAAAGCGUGGGGAGCAAACAGG
This 253-nucleotide ribosomal RNA is filed under the name uncultured bacterium. RNAcentral describes it as "partial 16S ribosomal RNA". It matches the Rfam family "Bacterial small subunit ribosomal RNA", at positions 524 to 776 of the family's 1533-position model. The record is from RNAcentral.